AGUGUGAAGGCGAAGCACAAAGUGUCUGCAAGAAAGGCUGUCUGAGCUGUGUAACUGGGUCAGAAGAAAAUGUGCUAAGGAGCUUACUUCUAUUGAGGCUGAUUGUAAAUGUGCUUUAGCCAGCCGCAGAAGAAUGUAACAGAGUCGUGCAACAUCGUCUGACCUACAGACCAUUUUUAAAUCUGAAAUCUUUGGAGAGCAUUCUGAAACUCUUCUCCACAUUUAUUUCCUUCUCAG
This 237-nucleotide long non-coding RNA is filed under the name Gallus gallus (chicken). The record is from RNAcentral. Lineage: Eukaryota; Metazoa; Chordata; Aves; Galliformes; Phasianidae.